GUCUGCGACCUACCCCACAGCUCACCGCAAGGCCGGAUCCUUAACCCACUGAUCAAGGCCAGGGAUGGAGCCCGCAACCUCAUGGUUCCUAGUCGGAUUCGUUAACCCCUGAGCCAUGACAACAACUCCCUCUUCCCGCCUAUCUAUGCUCCGGAGCUGAAUGUUCUCACUACAUAAUUACCUAGAACAGCCAGCACUUCAGCAGACUGGGGGGAAUUUGCCAGUUUAAAUGGCCCUAUGGAUGGCUACAAAAUAAAGAUAUAAAGCCUCCUGUGAUCCUGGUGACAGUAGCGGGAGGAGGAAAUAGGGUCCAGACUGGCAGCGGAGGAUGAGGAGGCUGCGGCCAGGAGUCCAGGAAGCAGCAGCAACUGGAGCUGAAGGAGGGGCCGAAGCCUGGGGACAGGCAGUGCACCUCUGCCGCAUCACAUUCACCGCUUUGCGGCUGUGGGUGGAGAGCCUUUUACACUGCACUGGAUACUCCCAUGUGUUCCCCUGGUACACGGCUUGCCCUAUAUAUAUAUGUAGGUGCCUAGUUCUCCAGGGGGCUAGCUUGUCUCCGCCUUUGACUCUCUUCUGGAGCCCCUUCUCCCCUUUUCAGAGCCAAAAGCCACCUAGAGGGCCCAAGGCCACCAGGGGCUCCUCCCCCAGGACUCUGGGAUGUGGGCACCACCUACUGGGCGUCAAGAAAGGAGUUUGCAAGAUGCAUGGGAGUGACUGAAGCCAGAGUGCAGGAGGCUGAGUCCCGGCUUGUUGCUCCCGCAGCAGCAGCAGCGGCGAGAGCAACAGACGCGCUUGGCAGACGAGGAGGCAGAAGUGGAGAGGGUGCCCUCGCGAACCGCAGGAGCCGCAGGACUGGUUUCGGGAGCCUCGGCUCAGGCCACCCCAGUCCCCGGGCCGAGAGCAAGAAUGAGAGCGAGAACGGCGGCCCCGCGGGCUCGGGGCUCUUGGACCAACUGCGAUGCUUCCCACUGUGGGCUGCGCGAGCCAGACACCUGAGUCAUUGCUGCGGGAAGAGAGGGAACAGUAUCACUAGCCCAGGAAGAUCUCGGACCUUUCGUUCCCAGAACCCGCCACUGCGCAAAACUGCGAAAACUGUGGAAAUCGUUCCUGGUACGUCGUUAAAAUCCUUCCCCAGUCCUACGUGGCCUCCAGCCGGCGUGAAAAGCCGUGCGUGCAUCCAAGUAAAUAAGCCGCCGCUGCAAUCGGUUCCGCGCAUCCUUCCGGUUCCGCGGGAGGCUCGCCCGGUCUAAAUUGGAUCAGAGACCAUGUCUUUCUCAACCUCGUACUUGAAAUGACUGAAAGGAAGGAUGACAGACUACAGGAUACAUUUCAGAGUGGCCGUUUCACCAACACAGUCAAUUCUGCUUGUGUUUCAGGGGCCGAGCGCUCCCAGAGCUUCCCAGUCUUCCUCCGCCCCCCGCGGAAGGAGCCGAAGGCGGAGCGAGGCGCCGAAGCGGGGCCGCCUAGCCCUCGGGCCCCUCCGGAAAGAGCCGAACUGCGCUCGGAAGAGGAGGGCGCCUUUCGCUUCGGCGCCUCGCCCCCGCGCGGUGCCCUCUGUCGGCAGCGUGGGGCAGCUGUGGCAGCGGUGGCGGCGGGAGGCGGCAGCCGCGUCGACGUCGACCAAGACUGGAGCGACGUUUAAAGAAGGAGCCGAAUCGCCGCGGAGUCCGGCGUCUGGUUGUUGGAGGACUCCCACCCUUCCGCGCGGCCCGACGACAAGAAGCGGCGGCGCAGGGAAGCAGGCAUGGAGAGUAGAAAACUGAUUUCUGCUACAGACAUUCAAUACUCUGGCAGUCUGCUGAACUCCCUGAAUGAGCAGCGUGGCCAUGGACUUUUCUGUGAUGUCACCGUUAUUGUGGAAGACCGAAAAUUCCGAGCCCACAGGAACAUUCUUUCAGCUUCUAGUACUUAUUUCCAUCAGCUCUUCUCAGUUGCCGGGCAAGUUGUUGAACUGAGCUUUAUAAGAGCAGAGAUCUUUGCAGAAAUUCUCAAUUAUAUCUAUAGUUCUAAAAUUGUUCGUGUUAGAUCAGAUUUACUUGAUGAGUUAAUUAAAUCAGGGCAGUUGUUAGGAGUGAAGUUUAUAGCAGAGCUUGGUGUCCCAUUGUCACAGGUUAAAAGCAUCUCAGGUACCCCUCAAGAUGGUAAUGCAGAAACCUUACCUCCUGGUUCUAGUGACAAGAACCUUGAAAUACAGAAAUCAAAAGAUGAAGCCCAAGAUAAUGGGGCCACUAUAAUGCCUAUUAUAACAGAGUCUUUUUCCUUAUCUGCUGAAGAUUAUGAGACAAAAAAGAUCAUUGUUACUGAUUCAGAUGAUGAUGACGAUGACGUCAUUUUCUGCUCUGAGAUUUUGCCUGCAAAGGAGACUUUGCCGAGUAACAAUGCGGUGGCACAGGCCCAGCCUAACCCAGGCUCUGUUGCUAUUUCAGAUGUUGCACCUUGUGCGAGCAGUAGCUCUCCCCCUUUAACAAGUAUCACGCCUCCUCAGAAACUUCCUACUUCUGUGAAUCAGGCAACUCUGAGCCAAACACAGGGAAGUGAAAAAUUGCUGGUAUCUUCGGCCCCAACACAUCUGACUCCCAACAUUAUUCUGUUAAAUCAGACACCACUUACCAACCCACCAAAUGUCAGUUCUUCACUUCCAAAUCAUAUGUCUCCUUCAAUCAAUUUACUUGUGCCGAAUCAGCAGCCACCAAACAAUGCUGUUUUAACAGGAAACAAGGCCAAUGAAGAGGAGGAGGAAGAAAUUAUAGAUGAUGAUGAUGACACUAUUAGCUCCAGUCCAGAUUCGGCGGUCAGUAAUACAUCUUUGGUCCCACAGGCUGAGAUCCCCCAAAAUACCACUUUUGAUGGAUCAUUGAUACAGAAGAUGCAGGUUCCUACACUUCUGCAAGAGCCACUUUCCAAUUCUUUAAAAAUUUCAGAUAUAAUUACUAGAAACACUAAUGAUCCAGGUUUAGGAUCAAAACAUCUCACGGAGGGUCAGAAGAUUAUUACUUUAGAUACAGCUACUGAAAUUGAAGGCUUGUCGACGGGUUGCAAGGUUUAUGCGAAUAUUGGUGAAGAUACUUAUGAUAUAGUGAUCCCUGUCAAAGAUGACCCUGACGAAGGGGAGGCCAGGCUUGAGAAUGAGAUACCAAAAACAUCUAGCAGUGAGACGGCAAAUAAACGUAUGAAAGUAAAACAUGAUGAUCACUAUGAGUUAAUAGUAGAUGGAAGGGUCUAUUAUAUCUGUAUUGUAUGCAAAAGGUCGUAUGUCUGUCUGACAAGCUUGCGGAGACAUUUUAACAUUCAUUCUUGGGAGAAGAAGUAUCCUUGCCGUUACUGUGAGAAGGUAUUUCCUCUUGCAGAAUAUCGUACAAAGCAUGAAAUUCAUCACACGGGGGAGCGAAGGUAUCAGUGUUUGGCCUGUGGCAAAUCUUUCAUCAACUAUCAGUUUAUGUCUUCACACAUAAAGUCAGUUCAUAGUCAAGAUCCUUCUGGAGACUCGAAGCUUUAUCGUUUACAUCCAUGCAGGUCUUUACAGAUCAGACAAUAUGCAUACCUUUCUGAUAGGUCAGGCACUAUGCCUGUAAUGAAGGAUGAUGGUAUUGGGUAUAAGGUUGAUGCUGGGAAAGAACCUCCAGUAGGGACCACAUCUGCUCCUCAGAACAAGCCAAUGACCUGGGAAGAUAUUUUUAUUCAGCAGGAAAAUGAUUCAAUUUUUAAACAGAAUGUAACAGAUGGCAGUACUGAGUUUGAAUUUAUAAUACCAGAAUCUUAUUGAACUCCUUUGAAAUUUCAGAAAGUUUUGGUUUUGAUUAGGGGGCAGGGCUUUCAGAAGACCUGUAAAACAAAGGUUCUCAAGUUAAUAGGAUCUGCCACGUCACCUGAAGGUAGUCUAGCUGGAUUAUUUGUUGAUAAUUUUUAGAAGCAAGUUAUUCUGAAAGUUUGAAUAGAGAUGGAGCAGUUUUUCCCCCAAGUAUCUGUUUAUAUAGUUAGCUUUCAGCACAUUCAAAAGAGGCAAAAAAAAAAAAAGCUUGGAGAGAUAGUUUCCUGAAUAGAAUUUGAAGCAGUCUGAAUGUUUGAAAAUAACUGGAGUUAUUAGCAUACAUACCCUAGUUUAUCUUGCAACUUACCCCUUCUGUGUUAGCACUUUACUGCUGAAUUCUCAAUUUUCUUAAUAUUGAGACUAUAAAUGUGUGUUGUGUCUUGUAUAUGGCAUAAAAAGUAAACAAGAACUUUUAAAGUUGUCCUGGAAAUUUUCAAAAUAAGUCUCUGCUUGGUUGUCUUGGCUGUGUAUUCUGCUGGUCCAAAUGGCCUCCUGCCCCUCAUGAAAAUGGCCAUGCAGACAGGUCUCUCAUUUGAAAAAUGAAUUAGUUUUAGCUAAUCAGAAUUAAAUCUUGCUUGUAUUGCCAUAGUCUGGAAAAGACUUUGGUAGCUGGACUGUUGUAUAUAUACCUUUGCAAUGUGGUUUCCUUGGGCAAAAAUACUAAAGGAAAUCUGUAAUGCAGACAGGAGGAGAUGAAAAGUUCUCUUGCGUGUGUUUUGAAUUCUGUGAAUGGAGAUUUCCUUUUUGCUCAUUAUGGUUAUAAAUAUUCCCAUGAAAUUUUUCAAAUUUCGAAUCUGAAAACCAAAUUAAUCUUUAUGUAUAAAUCUUUAUAAAUGACAAAUUUCAUAAAUGAGGUGCCUACAUAUUUUGGGCAGGAGGCCACUGGCAUAUAUUUUUAAAUGUUCAUAGUACUUAGAAUCUCUUAAUAGGAAGUUUUUAUUUGAAAUAGUUGAAUCCGUGUUCUAGUAUUUUCCUUUCAGUAAGACCUUUUAGGUUUUUACUCCUUCUAAAAUGUUCCAUUCCAUGUGCAAAUUGCUGCAAUAUCAUAGCAGUCAGAAGCUAUAUGUGGAAGUUAAAUAGGCUUGUUGAUUCCCAUUUAUCUUGCAAACAAUACCACCUUCUUUUUAAAAUGACACAUAUUUAAACACUUAGAAAAUAAAGUAAAAACUUACUGAAGUGCUAGUACUAAAAGGGAAGCAGGUUGGAACAAAUAUAUAGCCUAGCAUUUAUAACAGGAUUGACUUUUUGAACUUCUGUAAAUGACGUUUUGCAAAGGAAAAAAAUUAAUAGAUACUGAGAAAGAUUGUUGUGCCUAGUUAUUAGUCAUUUGUAACCUUGCUUAAGUAUUUCUUAAUUCAACAUAGAUAUUUUCUUUCUCCUUAACCAUGUGUUUUUGAAAAUAGUCUAUUUCUUGACUUUGAACUUAAAGCUUUAAUCAUAAUUUCUCAUGUAUACAUCAUUCUUUUAACAGUAAGCUAGUUUUGAAGUUAAUGGUUUCAGUGUUUCUUACGAUGGUAGCUGAGGGUAUCAGGCAUCAGUAUUUGCAGUAAUAUAAGGAGGAAGAAAAACAAUACAAUCCUCUGCUUACCAAGGAUUAGAAUGAUGUGCAUCUGUUUUCUGUUCUGUGAGUUGAGACCUUUAGACCAGUCUAAACUAAUCCUUGGAAAAUUUUAAAUUACUUUAUAACUUAAGACUCUGAUCUCUGGAAUUGCAGUAUCUGUUUCCUUUCUGUGCAGGCAUUGAUAACAUUACUCUUUAACUAUAGGGUAUAUACUGAAAUAUUGUCAGUGGCAAUUUGUUUCAUUAAUGCUGUUUCACCAGUUAGACAUAAUUCUCCUAAAGGGUGAAUGAUGCUGAUGCCAGCAGAGCUUCCAGUCCUUUCAGACUUAACUGCAAGGUAAAUUAGUUUGUCAUAACUUGCUAUUAUGACAAACCAGGAAUUAAUUCUACAAUGGAAAACUAUCCAUUCUGAAUUAUCUGGAUAUAAUUAUUUGCUUCUGCUGUGCUCUGUGUAAAUUCUGAGUAUCAAAUUUCUACUUGGCCUACUGAAGGUAUCUUGUAGAGUUUUUUUGGGGAGGAGGAAAACUGGAAAAUUCACUUUAAAUUGUAUUUUUGCCAGAAGACUCUUACUUGCACGUAUGUCAGGAUCUUCAGUUUCUCUAGAAGUCUCUAUAUCCAAAGUUCAGAAUUCAUGCGGAAUACUCCUAUGGGGUUAAACCCCUUCACUACCAGCAUUUAUGGGGUUGGAAAUCAAUAGCAAGAUGCUGUUCAAAACUUAUGAUGGGGUUUUUCUAUUUUAUACUUAGUUUUCUGGCAGUUGAAAUUCCUAUUUUUUUCUCUCAAGUUGGCCUCAAAUUUGCUCUUAAGCCAAAUUACCUAUAAAUAUUUUGGAUAGGUUCUGUUUGAAAUAACAGUUUGUUAAAAGAGAUGACAGAAAAUGAAAAUGCUCAAACUAAGCCAAGAUUUUUAAGUGCCAUAGCAGUCUUGCAAGAUUCACUUUAUAUUUUAAAUGAUCGUUAUUAUCCUUUUGGUGGUAACGAUCCACCACAUACAACCAUUAUGAGGAAUUGGAUGUUCCAUUUUUCUCGUACCAAAAAGAUAAAACGAAUGGUAAACAUGAUUGCGGUAUUUUGCAUUGCCAAGGCAGGCAUAUUCUAAAGAAUUCACUGCUAAUUCAACAGCACUGGCUUUCUCACUUCUGUCAAUCAUAUGAAACCUUGUUCAUUUCUACCCAAUACUGUAAUGUUGAUACUUGUACAAUCUCCCCUGUCAUGACUUUAAGUUCUACUUUUCAUUAACCGUUACCUGAUAUUAGUUCGUAGAGCUUCUUAUGGCAAAAAUAAAAUGUUUUUAAUUCUG
Sus scrofa (pig) is the source of this 6667-nucleotide non-coding RNA. The record is from RefSeq and is a predicted model, not a curated record. Lineage: Eukaryota; Metazoa; Chordata; Mammalia; Artiodactyla; Suidae.